GAUUUCUGGCGAACCGUUGCGGCCCGUGCUCGUUUCGGGCGUGUGUGCCGUGUCGUGUUUGUCAUCCUUCCAGAAAGCUGCGUCUACCAUUCACUUGGCCGGACGUACGCGAUCUGGAUCGAUUACUUUGAAAAAAUUAGAGUGUUUAAAGCAGGCUUAUGCUGUGAAUACAUUAGCAUGGAAUAAUAAUUUAGGACUUCGGUUCUAUUUUGUUGGUUUCUAGGACUGAAGUAAUGAUUGAUAGGGACAGUUGGGGGUGCUAGUAUUCCGCGGCCAGAGGUGAAAUUCUUGGAUUCGCGGAAGACUAACUACUGCGAAAGCAUU
This 324-nucleotide ribosomal RNA is filed under the name uncultured Cercozoa. RNAcentral's name for it is "SSU rRNA". The stretch from base 112 to 324 matches the Rfam family "Eukaryotic small subunit ribosomal RNA", at positions 741 to 955 of the family's 1831-position model. Lineage: Eukaryota; Cercozoa. The record is from RNAcentral.